UACGGAGGGUGCGAGCGUUGUCCGGAAUCACUGGGCGUAAAGGGCGCGUAGGCGGCCUGAUAAGUAUGGGGUGAAAUCCUGCGGCUUAACCGCAGGGCUGCCUUCUAAACUGUCAGGCUCGAGCACAGUAGAGGCAGGUGGAAUUCCCGGUGUAGCGGUGGAAUGCGUAGAGAUCGGGAAGAACAUCAGUGGCGAAGGCGGCCUGCUGGGCUGUUGCUGACGCUGAGGCGCGACAGCGUGGGGAGCAAACAGG
Molecule: ribosomal RNA, 253 nt
Filed under: uncultured bacterium
Lineage: Bacteria
Description: partial 16S ribosomal RNA
Rfam family: Bacterial small subunit ribosomal RNA
Source: RNAcentral